RNAcentral lists this ribosomal RNA (454 nucleotides) under uncultured bacterium. RNAcentral's name for it is "bacterial SSU rRNA". It matches the Rfam family "Bacterial small subunit ribosomal RNA", at positions 340 to 786 of the family's 1533-position model. The record is from RNAcentral.
UACGGAAGGCAGCAGUGGGGAAUAUUGCACAAUGGGCGAAAGCCUGAUGCAGCUAUGCCGCGUGUAUGAAGAAGGCCUUAGGGUUGUAAAGUACUUUCAUCGGGGAGGAAAAACAAAACUAAUAAUUUUAUUUCUUGACGUUACCUGAAAAAGAAGCACCGGCUAACUCCGUGCCAGCAGCCGCGGUAAUACGGAGGGUGCUAGCGUUAAUCAGAAUUACUGGGCGUAAAGAGCACGUAGGUGGUUUUUUUAAGUCAGAUGUGAAAUCCCUGGGCUUAACCUGGAACUGCAUUUUGAAACUGAAAUACUAGAGUAUCGUAGAGGGAGGUAGAAUUCUAGGUGUAGCGGUGAAAUGCGUAGAUAUCUGGAGGAAUACCUGUGGCGAAAGCGGCCUCCUAAACGAAUACUGACACUGAGGUGCGAAAGCGUGGGGAGCAAACAGGGAUUAGAUACC